AUUGAACGCUGGCGGCAUGCUUUACACAUGCAAGUCGAACGGCAACGAGGAGAAGCUUGCUUCUCUGUCGGCGAGUGGCGAACGGGUGAGUAUAGCAUCGGAACGUGCCAAGUAGUGGGGGAUAACCAAACGAAAGUUUGGCUAAUACCGCGUAAGCUCCAAGGAGGAAAGUAGGGGACCUAAAUAAGGCCUUACGCUAUUUGAUCGGCCGAUGUCGGAUUAGCUAGUUGGUGGGGUAAUGGCUCACCAAGGCAAUGAUCCGUAGCGGGUCUGAGAGGACGGUCCGCCACACUUGGACUGAGACACGGCCCCGACUCCUACGGGAGGCAGCAGUGGGGAAUUUUGGACCAUGGGGGAAACCCUGAUCCAGGCCUGCCGCGUGUUAUGAGGAGGGCUUAAGGUUUUUAAAUUCUUUUGUUAAGGAAGAAAAGCUAGGUUUUUAUUAAAAAUAGUGAUGACGGUACCUAAAGAAUAAGCACCGGCUAACUACGUG
This 493-nucleotide ribosomal RNA is filed under the name uncultured bacterium. RNAcentral describes it as "partial 16S ribosomal RNA". It matches the Rfam family "Bacterial small subunit ribosomal RNA", at positions 30 to 507 of the family's 1533-position model. The record is from RNAcentral.